This is a regulatory RNA element of 38 nucleotides. It matches the Rfam family "Human immunodeficiency virus type 1 dimerisation initiation site". Rfam says of the family: This cis element is composed of four hairpins called SL1 to SL4 (SL is for Stem Loop). It is found in HIV, SIV and CIV. The record is from Rfam.
GGACUCGGCUCGUUGGUGCACACAGCGAGAGGCGAGGC